GAUGAAGAACGUAGCGAAAUGCGAUACGUAAUGUGAAUUGCAAAUUCAGUGAAUCAUCGAGUCUUUGAACGCACAUUGCACCUCUCGGUAUUCCGGGAGGUAUGCCUGUUCGAGCGUCAUUUGUACCCUCAAGCUCUGCUUGGUGUUGGGUGUUUGUUCCGCCUCUGUGUGUGAACUCGCCUCAAAACAAUUGGCAGCCGGCGUACUUGUUUCGGAGCGCAGCACAUUUUGCGAUCCAGAUCAACGUACAGCGGCAUCCAAGAAGCCUUAUUUAACGCUCUUGACCUCGGAUCAGGUAGGGAUACCCGCUGAACUUAAGCAUAUCAAUAAGCGGAGGA
This 338-nucleotide unclassified non-coding RNA is filed under the name soil metagenome. RNAcentral's name for it is "partial contains 5.8S ribosomal RNA, internal transcribed spacer 2, and large subunit ribosomal RNA". The stretch from base 1 to 119 matches the Rfam family "5.8S ribosomal RNA", at positions 35 to 154 of the family's 154-position model. The record is from RNAcentral.